GCUGGUAAAAGAGAACCAGAU
This 21-nucleotide microRNA is filed under the name Scyliorhinus torazame (cloudy catshark). RNAcentral's name for it is "Sto-Mir-133-P4-v2_5p* (star (passenger))". Lineage: Eukaryota; Metazoa; Chordata; Chondrichthyes; Carcharhiniformes; Scyliorhinidae. The record is from RNAcentral.